This is a long non-coding RNA of Homo sapiens (human), 568 nucleotides long. Ensembl annotates it as ZNFX1 antisense RNA 1. Its record names the gene ZFAS1. NCBI's taxonomy places the organism in Eukaryota, Metazoa, Chordata, Mammalia, Primates, Hominidae. The record is from Ensembl.
UUCUUUCGCGUCUGCGGUGCCCGGAGUGUGGUACUUCUCCUAGUUGCAGUCAGGCUUCAUACGCUAUUGUCCUGCCCGUAAGUUCCCGUUUUGUGUGUGGUUAGAGCAGCCAGCGGGUACAGAAUGGAUUUUGGAAGAGGGAGUCACCACUGGACCUCCAAGGAAGCCACGUGCAGACAUCUACAACCUUCGAUCUCCUGACGAGUUUAUUGUUGGCCAAAACCAGGCUUUGAUUGAACCAGGAUGAAUGCGGGUGUUGGAAGUAGAAUAUAUAUAUACAUAUAAAAUUGGUUGGGAGCCACGUGUACCAGUGUGUGUUGAUCUUGGCUUGAUUCAGUCUGCCUUGUAACAGAAACUGGCGAUGGAAUAUGAGAGGAGCCCUCUGGAAAGAAAAGGACAGACCCUGUGCUUUCAUGAAAGUGAAGAUCUGGCUGAACCAGUUCCACAAGGUUACUGUAUACAUAGCCUGAGUUUAAAAGGCUGUGCCCACUUCAAGAAUGUCAUUGUUAGACUUUGAAAUUUCUAACUGCCUACCUGCAUAAAGAAAAUAAAAUCUUUUAAAUCAAAA